UCCAGCAAUAAGCGCGGCCCUUCUUGGCAGGUCGGCCCGCAAAGCGUACUGGGACGUGUAGUUUUCCCCUGUAGCCGUUAAGGCCCUUAACGUGGGAAAACAAGCGUCGAGGUGCAGUAGCGAGAUUUGGCCACAGGAGGGCGCGCCAACACACCAAGCGCCAAGCCGGUUCCACUAAGGCCCCAAAAAGGAGGAAUGAGUAGUUCGGCCAAAUUUAACGAGCGUGAAUGGAGAGAAAUUAAUCGACCGAAGCUCUCAACCUGGCCGAAUAUCAGCAAUUCUGGGGCGCCAACCCUCAACCUCCCCCAACUUGCCUUUGCUGCUAUUUCAGGGACUCCGGGAGCGGCUGCCGGAAGCGGCCCUUCUCCUACGCUGGGCGCGAAACUGCAGAAAAGGGGGGGGGGGAAGAGAUCUGAACCAAAAUCUAAACAUACUAAAUCCCUUUUUUCUUCCCGUUAAUGUAACCAUAAAGCAAAUUAUUACUUUAUCCCUCCCUUUUCUGCAAGGAGCUGAAGGUGCAGGCCACGCUCUCUAUUACACCAUUUUAUCCACUCAAAACAGUGCCAGGCCAGUCGAGGGGCCCAGUGGCCCAAAGACACACAGUUCAGUUUCAUGGGGAUCUAAAUCCACCACUUUCCAGACCAAACGCAACCCAUUCAAAAGCACUCUGAGGCAAAGGACACACACCACCACAACAGCAAGCUCUAUUGGGCAAAAUCUACCACUUUCCAUGCCCUAAAAGGCUUCAGGGCCAAGAAACCUCAAACUCUCCCAAGCUCAAGUCUUUGGGCUUUGCCUUCUGGGACCCUUCUGCCCUCCCCUCCCCCCUCGCUUCCAGACAGUCAUUUUUCAGUCCACUAGCCACACUCUUCAGUGGACCACGAAAACCGCAUCCCUCCUUUUACAGCCACACGCUGAGACAGGAAGCCCCGCAGAAUGAACACCCCAGCACCCUGAUCGAAAAAGAAAUGAAGAUAGCUUUAUUGAGCUGAGUGGCACAUGGCAGGUUGAUGUCCCCU
This 1019-nucleotide long non-coding RNA is filed under the name Pogona vitticeps (central bearded dragon). Its description in RNAcentral is "lncRNA (ENSPVIG00000020596.1)". Lineage: Eukaryota; Metazoa; Chordata; Lepidosauria; Squamata; Agamidae. The record is from RNAcentral.